AUUGAACGCUGGCGGCAUGCCUUACACAUGCAAGUCGAACGGUAACGGGCCUUCGGGUGCCGACGAGUGGCGCACGGGUGAGUAAUACAUCGGAACGUGCCCGAUCGUGGGGGAUAACGAGGCGAAAGCUUUGCUAAUACCGCAUACGAUCUACGGAUGAAAGCAGGGGACCGCAAGGCCUUGCGCGGACGGAGCGGCCGAUGGCAGAUUAGGUAGUUGGUGGGAUAAAAGCUUACCAAGCCGACGAUCUGUAGCUGGUCUGAGAGGAUGAUCAGCCACACUGGGACUGAGACACGGCCCAGACUCCUACGGGAGGCAGCAGUGGGGAAUUUUGGACAAUGGGCGCAAGCCUGAUCCAGCCAUGCCGCGUGCAGGAUGAAGGCCUUCGGGUUGUAAACUGCUUUUGUACGGAACGAAAAGCCUUCUUUUAAUACAGGAGGGUCAUGACGGUACCGUAAGAAUAAGCACCGGCCAACUACGUG
RNAcentral lists this ribosomal RNA (482 nucleotides) under uncultured bacterium. RNAcentral describes it as "partial 16S ribosomal RNA". It matches the Rfam family "Bacterial small subunit ribosomal RNA", at positions 30 to 507 of the family's 1533-position model. The record is from RNAcentral.